RNAcentral lists this transfer RNA (87 nucleotides) under Chloroflexota bacterium. RNAcentral describes it as "Chloroflexi bacterium tRNA-Ser". It matches the Rfam family "tRNA". Rfam says of the family: Transfer RNA (tRNA) molecules are approximately 80 nucleotides in length. Their secondary structure includes four short double-helical elements and three loops (D, anti-codon, and T loops). RNAcentral also lists the same sequence under 1 other name. Lineage: Bacteria; Bacillati; Chloroflexota. The record is from RNAcentral.
GGAGGGGUGGCAGAGCGGUCGAAUGCGGCGGUCUUGAAAACCGCUGAGGCUUUCGGGUCUCCCUGGGUUCGAAUCCCAGCCCCUCCG